Molecule: ribosomal RNA, 2741 nt
Filed under: Triticum aestivum (bread wheat)
Lineage: Eukaryota; Viridiplantae; Streptophyta; Magnoliopsida; Poales; Poaceae
Description: partial small subunit ribosomal RNA
Source: RNAcentral
CGGCGCCACGGUAGGGGCGAGCAUGGUCGGCCGCCCCGGGUAGCCGAAAAUACGUAUACAAAAAAUACGGUUCAUUCUUUCAGUACAUCGGCCAAUAUGUGGGAAUUUGCACGGGAGGCACAAAAGCCCAGUCCACGGCCUAAAACCAGUUAGCACGGCCACACGACACCCAAUCCUUCGACCGCGUCGUACUCGUACAGGAACACCAGAAAAUCCCCAAUCGAGCGGAGCAGCAGCGAGAGUAACCUAGCCGUCGCCGGCUCGCCGCCACAAAGCUCCGCCUCGCCGGGCCGCCGCCUCGUCGGUCGCCGCCACAAAGCUCCGCCUCGCCGGGCCGCCGCCUCGUCGCCGAAGAGCUCUGCCUCGCCGGGCCACCGGCCGCGGGCACCUAUGGGCGAACGGAAAGAAGCAACGGUGCCGAGCGUGGCCUGUGUGGGAGGAGGCAGCGGCGGCCGUGGAUCGAGAUCGAGCUCAUGCAAACGCGCAUCUGCUGUUUGCAAAAUCAGCAAGCGCAGCCAGCAGGGGAUCUUUAAGAAGAUGAAGCGAAUUGCUGCUUAUUUUGGAACUCCAUCUAAUGAAUUUCAAGCUCCUGUUCAUGUUCCUGAACCUGAUGCGAACAUUUUAUCCACUAAAGCCUCAGAUGCAAACAUUGUAGAAGAUCUAGUUCCUGAACCUGAAGUGUAUAAUGAGGGCUCUCAUGAUAACACUUUGCAAACUUCUAUUCUAGGAUUUAGUUGCUUCGUUUUGUAUUAAAAGGGAGAUACCAGUGCCUAGUAUGGAUGAGAAUAUACCAGCAAGGGGUUACCCAAGGAGUUCCCGCAAAAUGGUUAGUUGCUUCCAUCACUACAAAGUUGAAAUAUUCAAUGAGGUUCUUGACAGAAACAUAGCUGAGAUGAAUCACCGGUUUAGUGAAACUUCAACAAGGUUAUUGAUAUGCAUUGCUAGUCUAGAUCCAAGAGACUCAUUUGGCAGAUUUAAUCAUGAGAACCUACUUGAGCUUGCAUCUAUGUACUCAGUCGAGUUCGAUCCAGAAGAACAAUAUCAUUUGGAUGGUCAACUCAAGAUAUACAUUGAUAUGAUGAAAAGGUCUGAUGUUUUUUGCAGUUGUGGCAGUCUCGCUAAUCUUGCUCUCAAGUUGGUUGAAACUAAGGAACAUUUACACUUUCCUUUGGUUUACCGGCUCAUCACACUUACUUUGACUUUGCCAGUAGCGGCGGCAUCUGUUGAAAGAGUUUUCUCAGCCAUGAAUAUCAUUAAAACAGAUUUGAGAAAUAAGAUAUCUGAUGAUUGGUUGAAUGAUAUGAUGAUAUGCUAUGUAGAGAGAGAUAUAUUUGCUGGAACUGAUGACAAGAAGAUCAUAGAACAUUUUCACAGCUUGAGAGACCGUAGAGGCCAUCUACCCAACCCUCCCCGUAUACUUACGACUUAGGGUAUCUUUUAGUCAUGGAGUUGGACAUUUUGGGCCAUGGAAUGAAUUAUUCAAGCAGCGGGAGUCCAAGUUAGUAGUUAUGUGUGACGUUUAUGUUAUAUUUUGUGAUUUUAGGUGGUUACAACCUAGUUCUCGAGAAUCUUGAAAUGUUCUGAAUCAUUGGUCAUGUAAAUUCUCGAGUGCAUCUAGCUUCAUAUUUGAAUUUUAUGAGAUUUGGUUCAACGGACUUGCAUUCGUCGAUCAAUUUUUUAUACCUUCAAUGUUUCGCCCCGGCUAAGUUCAAUUCCUGGAUCCGCCACUGCUCCACCACAUCUAGCAAACAAGCUCUCUCAAGGCACUAUCUAGCUGACUAGAAUAGACCGAUCAUGGCAGCGCGCGCCAUUGCUGUCCUCUCGCUCUUCCUCGCGCUGGUUGCCAUCGCCAGCGGAGGAGCGUCGGCGCAGCUGGGUCGUCGGGAUUCUACUCCCGCUCGUGCCCGGGCAUGCUCAAAGCCGUGCGCUCGGCGCUGCACCCGGCCAUCGCCAGGGAGCGGCGCGUGGGCGCCUCCAUCGUCCGCCUCUUCUUCCACGACUGCUUCGUCCAGGGCUGCGACGCCUCGCUGCUGCUGGACGACGCGCCGGGCCUGCGCGGCGAGAAGAACGCCACGCCCAACAAGAACUCCGCCAGGGGGUUCGAGGUCAUCGACGCCGUCAAGGCGGCCGUCGAGGGGUGUUGUCCCGGCGUCGUCUCUUGCGCCGACAUCCUGGCCAUCGCGGCCGAGGAGAGCGUCGCUUUCCUGGGUGGGCCGAGCUGGGAGGUGAAGAUGGGGCGGAGGGACUCGACGACGGCGAGCUUCAACGGCGCCGAGAACAACAUCCCUCCCCCGACAUCGGGGCUCGCGAACCUUACGUCCCUCUUCGCGGCGCAGGGGCUCUCCCAGAAAGACAUGGUCGCACUCUCAGCCUCUCUCUGUCUUCCCCGCAGCACCCGCUUCUCUCUCUCACUCUCCCCACGGAUCUGGAUCAGACGGGGCACACCGGCCUCUCCCCUCAACGCCGACCACCAGGAGCCUCCCACUAAUCGGCCACCACGCUCCACCGGCGGAUCGAGGGAGGGGAGGACCACCCCCGCGUGGCUCUGCCCCGAGGUCGUCGUCGCACCACCACGACGGCGGUUGGCUUGGCCGCACCACCACCAGCCCACUCCACCAUGGCGUCCUCUCCAACUGCCCCGCUCCUCCCUGCGCAACCAGAUCCAGCCCCAUCGCCGCCGUGCCCCGCCGUCGUCGACGGGAUGCGGCCGUCGUCUCCUUCGUCUGCCCGAGGUUGGUUGA